AGCAGCCGCGGUAAUUCCAGCUCCAAUAGCGUAUAUUAAAGUUGUUGUGGUUAAAAAGCUCGUAGUUGAACCUUGGGCCUGGCUGGCCGGUCCGCCUCACCGCGUGUACUGGUCCGGCCGGGCCUUUCCCUCUGUGGAACCCCAUGCCCUUCACUGGGUGUGGCGGGGAAACAGGACUUUUACUGUGAAAAAAUUAGAGUGCUCCAGGCAGGCCUAUGCUCGAAUACAUUAGCAUGGAAUAAUAGAAUAGGACGUGUGGUUCUAUUUUGUUGGUUUCUAGGACCGCCGUAAUGAUUAAUAGGGACAGUCGGGGGCAUCAGUAUUCAAUUGUCGGAGGUGAAAUUCUUGGAUUUAUUGAAGACUAACUACUGCGAAAGCAUUUGCCAAGGAUGUUUUCAUUAAUCAGGAACGAAAGUUAGGGGAUCGAAGACGAUCAGAUACCGUCGUAGUCUUAACCAUAAACUAUGCCGACUAGGGAUCGGACGGUGUUAUUUUUGACCCGU
This 503-nucleotide ribosomal RNA is filed under the name uncultured Paraglomus. RNAcentral's name for it is "SSU rRNA". It matches the Rfam family "Eukaryotic small subunit ribosomal RNA", at positions 569 to 1079 of the family's 1831-position model. Lineage: Eukaryota; Fungi; Glomeromycota; Glomeromycetes; Paraglomerales; Paraglomeraceae. The record is from RNAcentral.